This is a non-coding RNA of Peromyscus maniculatus bairdii (prairie deer mouse), 622 nucleotides long. The record is from RefSeq and is a predicted model, not a curated record. NCBI's taxonomy places the organism in Eukaryota, Metazoa, Chordata, Mammalia, Rodentia, Cricetidae.
AGCUGGCCCGUAGAGCAGCUGUGCAUGGACUCUGGCCUUUCAGGCUGGGGACUGGGCCUUCACAGCCCAGUUGUUUUCCUAGCAACUGGUCUGGAAGGAUGCAGGACCUGGGGUAAGGCAUGCAUCCUUAUGCAUGAAGGCUCUCUUCAUCCCCGGAGCAUUGGAGAAGGAGUGGGCUGAGAGCUUUGGGCUGCUGACUCUCGUGGCAGCUGGAUGCUUCUUCAGUGCUGGAGGAGGGCAGGAAGGACACUAAACCACUCAUGCGAAUGGUCCCUACUCAGAAGGGGAGUAACCGGAAGGGAGCUCCGAGCCAAUGGCUGUCACAGGGCUGGCGAUGUCCUGCUUGUUCAAGAGAAAAUAAUUGAAGACCCAGGUGGAAGUAUCCAGUGAAAAGGAAACCAUUUUAUAUACUAGAAAAUCAGGGAUGGUUGAUGGAGGGUCACUCCUAAGAACGUGGAAAGAAAUAAGUUUCGAGCACAGCCUCAUAUGGGAAUAUGUCUAACCUGGAUUGCAUCAAUCUAUUGAGACCACUUCUUUGGUCCUUAUCUGGUGCCUCCUGUUGAUAUGUCUUCAUUUAUAUGAAUGAUUUUCAUCUUUCAAUAAAAUCCUCUUGAGAACCACA